AACGAACCGUUUUGAUUCAAGUUUAGAUUUCCUCUUUAAUUUGUCCAUAAACGCCUCCGCUGCGGUUUAGCUUCGCCGACUAAGCUAUCGCAGCCUCCGGCAAGCUCCUCGAUCAGCUCCGAUCUGCUUUUCGUCAACUGGAUCCUCAGCAUUUAGAGAGAGCUCUGGAAGAAUGUGACAAUGAUUUACAUUGUGCAAUCAAGAAGCUGAAUAACUCUUUCCUUAGGAAUAGCUGAGAAAAAGUUGGACUCUCUGGAAGAAUUAUAUGCCAGUGAUAAUCAAGGUAAUAUUGCCAUGGUUGAAAAUGCUGUUGCUUCAGACAGUCCAUUAGAGCCAAACAAGCUUCCAGUUGAUGGUACAGAACAUGUGGACUUGUUUAUGACAGAAAAGAUGAGUGCUUAUUAAUAUGGAUGAUGCCAAAGCCUGUGUCUCAAGAGUGCUGGAGAUUUUAGAGAAAUCCAUUAUGGCACGUACUGCUGAUGAGGUAGCACAAAGAUUUCAGAAGGUUGGUAUCUGUCUCUUACUUAAUCUAAAUGACUAUCAUUUUUCUUUGCUCUUAGGGGUUGAUAGUGCAGUUUCGCUGGUUCCCUGGAGAUAGAAUACCUCAACUUUAAUAUCUGUGCUUAUAGUUAUGUUGGUCAUGAGCUUUAUAAUUGGCAAAAUUCCAUGAAUACUGUGACAUCUCAACUGUAUAAUGAAUGAGAAAAUGUUCCCUUAAUCUGUAGCAUAGAUGCUGUUUUGCAGUGAAUAAAGCAGUUGUAAUGAAGGUA
Mangifera indica (mango) is the source of this 770-nucleotide long non-coding RNA. RefSeq lists it as uncharacterized. The transcript has 3 exons. Lineage: Eukaryota; Viridiplantae; Streptophyta; Magnoliopsida; Sapindales; Anacardiaceae. The record is from RefSeq and is a predicted model, not a curated record.